GCCAUUCCCACUGCCCCCUCCAUCCCUCCAUUGCUCUGGGUCUCAGCUUCCCCACCUGUCCCUGAGCUAUGAUUGAGGGUGGGCAUGGUCCUGGAGAGCUCGUCCCAGGUAGGGUGUCCUGAGAAACCUAAUUUGAGGUGAUGGGAGUGGGGCAGCUGCAGAGGAGGGGUCUCCAAGGGACAGCCCCAACAAGUUAGGCCAGCUAAGCACCCCCCCCCCCAUACACACACACACCCGGCUCCCGAUUCAGGGGUCAGUGACUCAGGAAUGAAGGCAGCACCCGGGGCUGAGGCAUUCAGAGGACACACCCAUGGCCACCCUAGGUCAAGGACAGGUGGAUGGGGAUCCAAGCAAGAGCUCGGCUGGGCGGGGGAGGGUACAUAUGGAAGGCCAAGGAGAACCAGAGAGGGAGCAACAGGAGGACAGCACGGCCACAGCAGGGAUCUGCAGAAGGAGCCCCCAUCAGCCAGGGGUUUCCAGACUCUGUGAUAGGGACUGGAAGACUCUGGGGGGAGAACUGCUACACUUAAUGCCAGCUUCUUCUAGCCACCCCUCCUCAGUGUGGAGUGAGUACAGACACCUGGGGGCAGGGGGAGCUGAGCAAGAAGGCAAGGCUUGGCUGCAUGGGCAGUGGGGUUUCGGGAGGACAGGUGAGGCCCCAGCCCCGUCCCCAGCCAAUGCAGGUGGUCCCAUUGCUUUUGACCCUCAAUAUCCAAAAACAACAAGAAAUUGAUAAAGGUCUCUGGUAUAGAAUAAGGAUCUGGAAGCUUGUCUUGGCCUGGACCUCACCCCAUCUGUGGAUGGGGCCCCCUUGGAGGCAGCUCUCACUCAUGGCAAUUCCUCCAAAGUGGCAAACCCACAAAGUGUUCAGAGGCAAACGUGCACUGUCGCUCCGUCGUGUGCAGAACGCUGGUUCCCACCUCCAGGCAGCUCGAGGUCUGUGGGAGACAGACCCUGGGGAGGAGGCUGGAGUUCCCAGGCCUGACAUUUCUUGCCCGGAGGAGGGGAGGGCCUUUCCUCCCCGCAGUCCAGAAAAGCACCCAGGCAGGCCAGCAGCUUUCCCUGUGUCCCCAGAUGGAAAGGUAGGGCCUGUGGCUGGGGGCCGGGGGAUGGGGUGCCUCUGGGUUCUAGGAAGGUGUACAGGGGAGGAUUAG
RNAcentral lists this long non-coding RNA (1154 nucleotides) under Vulpes vulpes (red fox). RNAcentral describes it as "lncRNA (ENSVVUG00000025023.1)". Lineage: Eukaryota; Metazoa; Chordata; Mammalia; Carnivora; Canidae. The record is from RNAcentral.